Molecule: ribosomal RNA, 468 nt
Filed under: uncultured bacterium
Lineage: Bacteria
Description: partial 16S ribosomal RNA
Rfam family: Bacterial small subunit ribosomal RNA
Source: RNAcentral
GACGAACGCUGGCGGCGUGCUUAACACAUGCAAGUCGAACGGAAAGGCCCUGCUUUUGUGGGGUGCUCGAGUGGCGAACGGGUGAGUAACACGUGAGUAACCUGCCCUUGACUUUGGGAUAACUUCAGGAAACUGGGGCUAAUACCGGAUAGGAGCUCUUGCUGCAUGGUGGGGGUUGGAAAGUUUCGGCGGUUGGGGAUGGACUCGCGGCUUAUCAGCUUGUUGGUGGGGUAGUGGCUUACCAAGGCUUUGACGGGUAGCCGGCCUGAGAGGGUGACCGGCCACAUUGGGACUGAGGUACGGCCCAGACUCCUACGGGAGGCAGCAGUGGGGAAUAUUGCACAAUGGGCGGAAGCCUGAUGCAGCAACGCCGCGUGCGGGAUGACGGCCUUCGGGUUGUAAACCGCUUUCGCCUGUGACGAAGCGUGAGUGACGGUAAUGGGUAAAGAAGCACCGGCUAACUACGUG